Molecule: microRNA precursor, 100 nt
Organism: Cercocebus atys (sooty mangabey)
Lineage: Eukaryota; Metazoa; Chordata; Mammalia; Primates; Cercopithecidae
Source: Ensembl
GAGGUGGGAGGAUCCCUUGGGCCCAGGAGGUUGAGGCUGCAAUGAGCUGUGAUCACAGCACUGCACUCCAGCCUGAGUGACAGAGCAAGACCUUGUCUCA